GUACGGGUUGAAAUUAGCUUUAGGGGUUAUUGUUAUGAUUAGCUUAUGUUUAGGGUUAGCCUUAAAUACUGGGUUAGGGUUAGAGAUAGAGUUAGGGGGAGGGUUAGGGUAAAGGUUAGGGAUAGGUUUAGGGUUAGGGUUAGGCCUACGUUAUCAGAUAGGAUUAGGGUUAGGGUUAGGGUUAGGGUUAGGGUUAGGGUUAGGGUUAGGGUUAGGGUUAGGGUUAGGGUUAGGGUUAGGGUUAGGGUUAGGAUUAAGCUUAGGCUUAGCGUUAGGGUUAGGGUUAGGGUUAGGCUUAGGGUUUCCGUUAGGCUUAGGGUUAGGGUUAGGGUUAGGGUUAGGGUUAGUGUUAGGGUUAGGGUUAGGGUUAGGGUUAGGGUUAGGGCUAGGGUUAGGGUUAGGGUUAGGGUUAGGGUUAGGGUUAGGGUUAGGGUUAGGGUUAGGGUUAGGGGUAGGGUUAGGGUAGGGUUAGGGUUAGGGUUAGGGUUAGGGUUAGGGUUAGGGUUAGGGUUAGGGUUAGGGUUAGGGUUAGGGUUAGGGUUAGGGUUUAGGGUUAGGGUUAGGGUUAGGGUUAGGGUUAGGGUUAGGGUUAGGGUUAGGGUUAGGGUUAGGGUUAGGGUUAGGGUUAGGGUUAGGGUUAGGGUUAGGGUUAGGGUUAGGGUUAGGGUUAGGUUAGGGUUAGGGUUAGGGUUAGGGUUCGGGUUAGGGUUAGGGUUAGGGUUAGGGUUAGGGUUAGGGUUAGGGGUUAGGUGUUAGGGUUAGGGUUAGGGUUAGGGUUAGGGUUAGGGCUUAGGGUUAGGUUAGGGUUAGGGUUACGGUUAGGUUUCGGGUUAGGGUUAGG
RNAcentral lists this long non-coding RNA (841 nucleotides) under Gallus gallus (chicken). RNAcentral's name for it is "lncRNA (ENSGALG00010002222.1)". Lineage: Eukaryota; Metazoa; Chordata; Aves; Galliformes; Phasianidae. The record is from RNAcentral.